CUACGGGAUGCUGCAGUGAGGAAUAUUGCACAAUGGGGGGAACCCUGAUGCAGCAACGCCGCGUGGAGGAUGACGCAUUUCGGUGUGUAAACUCCUUUUAUAUGUCAAGAAAAUGACGGUAGCAUAUGAAUAAGCACCGGCUAACUCCGUGCCAGCAGCCGCGGUAAUACGGAGGGUGCAAGCGUUACUCGGAAUGACUGGGCGUAAAGGACGCGUAGGAGGGUUGGAAAGUCAGGUGUGAAAUCCUACAGCUUAACUGUAGAACUGCACUUGAAACUUCUAAUCUAGAGUAUGGGAGGGGGAGAUGGAAUUAGUGGUGUAGGGGUAAAAUCCGUAGAUAUCACUAGGAAUACCUAAAGCGAAGGCGAUCUCCUGGAACAUUACUGACGCUAAGGCGUGAAAGCGUGGGGAGCAAACAGGAUUAGAUACCCGUGUAGUC
Molecule: ribosomal RNA, 439 nt
Filed under: uncultured bacterium
Lineage: Bacteria
Description: partial 16S ribosomal RNA
Rfam family: Bacterial small subunit ribosomal RNA
Source: RNAcentral